This 249-nucleotide long non-coding RNA is filed under the name Lathyrus oleraceus (garden pea). Its description in RNAcentral is "Pisum sativum (pea) long non-coding RNA (PSAT_LNC015771)". Lineage: Eukaryota; Viridiplantae; Streptophyta; Magnoliopsida; Fabales; Fabaceae. The record is from RNAcentral.
UUGUUCCCACAUGGUUCCAUAAAGGUAAGAAGAUUAUAUAUUUGCAAAAGGCAAGUAAUAUAGGUAAUUUGGAGCUCCCUUUUGCAAAAGGCAGAGAGAUCUUGCAAAAGGCAAGUAAGGCCUUGCUGGGGGAAAUUUUAGAUAGUCCCAUAGAUAAGGAAAUUGAAAGAGAAUUCAAAUAGGAAUCUGAGGUAGUCGACAAAGGAGGAGUUGAAAAAGAGAAAGAAGAAGAAAAGUGCGCAACAUCUG